UGGGGAAUAUUGGACAAUGGGCGAAAGCCUGAUCCAGCCAUGCCGCGUGUGUGAAGAAGGUCUUCGGAUUGUAAAGCACUUUAAGUUGGGAGGAAGGGCAGUAAGCGAAUACAUUGCUGUUUUGACGUUACCGACAGAAUAAGCACCGGCUAACUCUGUGCCAGCAGCCGCGGUAAUACAGAGGGUGCAAGCGGUAAUCGGAAUUACUGGGCGUAAAGCGCGCGUAGGUGGUUCGUUAAGUUGAAUGUGAAAGCCCCGGGCUCAACCUGGGAACUGCAUCCAAAUCUGGCGAGCUAGAGUAGGGCAGGGGGUGGUGGAAUUUCCUGUGUAGCGGUGAAAUGCGUAGAUAUAGGAAGGAACCCCAGUGGCGAAGGCGACCACCUGGGCUCAUUCUGACACUGAGGUGCGAAAGCGUGGGGAGCAAACAGG
This 429-nucleotide ribosomal RNA is filed under the name Pseudomonadota bacterium. RNAcentral's name for it is "Proteobacteria bacterium partial 16S ribosomal RNA". It matches the Rfam family "Bacterial small subunit ribosomal RNA", at positions 355 to 776 of the family's 1533-position model. The record is from RNAcentral. Lineage: Bacteria; Pseudomonadati; Pseudomonadota.